UGGUCGGGGCGUUAGGAAAGGUCCGGGAACCACUGGAAUAGAAGGACUGGUUCUCGGUUGCAGUCAGGACUUUGUCCUAGAUGGGUUUAUUUUAAGAGCUGUCUGCCAAGCCAGCUUCUAAAGAGCCAAAGCACCGGGGGCUGCUGCUAUGGAAAACAUGACUUUCCUGGGGGAUUAAGAUGCCCUCCCAGGCUCGCAGCUACGUAGCUCAGAGUCACCAUCGUGGAUUCGGAUUUGUGCUCCGCUGAAACCAGGACAUUCAUUUUCCUGGAAUUCCCAUCAGGGCAUUGAUGUGCGGUGGUGGAGUGCAGAGAUGAGAAACGACCCUACGUUGCCUGAGCUCUGCCCUGGAGCCCAAAGCCAGUUGGGAGCUGCAAAGGAAUUGUACCAGGUUCCAGACUUCUAGCUCCCCCGGAUGAGGACUAAGCCAGGAAAGACUGGUUCAGUCCGGGGUUAAAUCUGGCCCUUAUUCCUUCAACCCAAGAUCCACUGUUUAUUUAAUAUUCUUCAAAUUAGUUCUUGUUUUCUUAUUAAAAUGGGAACUAUAUCAAAAAUGAAGGAGAAUCUGUGUACCCUUCACCCAUUUUCAGCAACUGCCACAACAAGAGGCACAUUUAGGAUUUCUGGAAGUGGGAAGUGCUGUGUUGUAGGAAUUCCUUACCUUCAUGUGGUUACUGCCUCUUUCCCAUUCCCAGGUCAGCUGAUAAGUCAAUGAGAAGUCUGACGGUUGAUCAUGGAUCAAACAAACCAGAAAUAAACAAAAUCAACCAGGAAA
Long non-coding RNA from Mastomys coucha (southern multimammate mouse), 775 nucleotides. RefSeq lists it as uncharacterized. The transcript is spliced from 2 exons. The record is from RefSeq and is a predicted model, not a curated record. NCBI's taxonomy places the organism in Eukaryota, Metazoa, Chordata, Mammalia, Rodentia, Muridae.